AACGAACGCUGGCGGCAUGCCUAACACAUGCAAGUCGAACGAUCCCUUCGGGGAUAGUGGCGCACGGGUGCGUAACGCGUGGGAACCUGCCCUUAGGUUCGGAAUAACUGAGAGAAAUUUCAGCUAAUACCGGAUAAUGUCUUCGGACCAAAGAUUUAUCGCCUUUGGAUGGGCCCGCGUUGGAUUAGCUAGUUGGUGGGGUAAAGGCCUACCAAGGCGACGAUCCAUAGCUGGUCUGAGAGGAUGAUCAGCCACACUGGGACUGAGACACGGCCCAGACUCCUACGGGAGGCAGCAGUGGGGAAUAUUGGACAAUGGGGGAAACCCUGAUCCAGCAAUGCCGCGUGAGUGAUGAAGGCCUUAGGGUUGUAAAGCUCUUUUACCAGGGAUGAUAAUGACAGUACCUGGAGAAUAAGCUCCGGCUAACUCCGUGCCAGCAGCCGCGGUAAAAGUACGUACUAUACUCGUAGCGGGCGGUCGGUCGGAACGAACGGCGACUAGUAG
This 504-nucleotide ribosomal RNA is filed under the name uncultured bacterium. Its description in RNAcentral is "bacterial SSU rRNA". It matches the Rfam family "Bacterial small subunit ribosomal RNA", at positions 31 to 542 of the family's 1533-position model. The record is from RNAcentral.